Molecule: long non-coding RNA, 1844 nt
Organism: Lineus longissimus
Lineage: Eukaryota; Metazoa; Nemertea; Pilidiophora; Heteronemertea; Lineidae
Exons: 3
Source: RefSeq, a predicted model, not a curated record
CGACAAUCCCACGUGCGAUGUGUUUUUACAAAAACAAACCAAAGGAGGAACGAUACUGCAGCAAAAGCAGAAUGCAGAGGUACAUUCAAGUGGAGCAUUUCGUUAUUCCUACACAAAGCUAGGGAGCAAGGAUUAUAAAGGUUGGUGGAAAAGGAAGUAUAUCGGGAAAUAUCUUCCGCUGAUCAGCAUUCCAGAAAUAAAGGACUACUUACGUUGGAUGGACUGGCCGGUACCAGAGCUAUUUCAAAUAACUUACAGUAACAUUGUAGACUCUAAGUGUCAUAAAUAGAGGCAUCGAUUUUAAUAUGUGUACUACGAAAGUGAUGGAGUGAAAAGCGGCUGGCAAAGGCCACUUUGGCUUGACGCACGAAGUUAAGGACGGGCUACCCGGUCGUUCGUUUUGCAGCAUAGGUCCUCUUUGUACACCAACUCUGUGCGGACAUCCUCCCGAGAACCAGAACUACCUGCAACAUGUCACGUUUCCGUAAAAAUCAUUUAAUUUUCACCACUGUCACUGAAUUAAUUAAUGAACAUUCUGUCACACGUUGGCUCAAUAAUACUUCUUACCCUUAAUCCUCUAAACCAGUGAACCACAGAACCUGAUGACGUAGACUAGACGACUGGAAGACUAGAGAGAUUCCACAUUAACACGUGAACCCUUCAAUCCUCAAUCCAGCAUUUUAUUUUAGACUGAAUAACAACAAAACCAUUUCGUUGCAAGAUUAGAUUUUUAUUUAUUCAUCAAAGAAAUUUAAAUGAUGUUGACUGACAAUAUGAAACCUAGUCGAUAGAAAGAUUGGAACACUCCAGUCCGUCACUCUUACUCCCAUGGCAAUGCAGUGGAGUGGGUUGCCCUCAUGAACGCUCUACUCAAUGUCGAAGUAGCUAUCACUGUCUUCAUCGUGGUCUUCUGGUAUCUCUACUGGUGCGGCAUACAACUUCUCAAAGUUAAGUUGGAUCUUCCGAUUCCUUAUCCCUGCCCAGAGUUCGCAGGCCUCAUGGAAAGGAAAAUCACGAACCUCUGGACCCUCAAUACCGGCCAUCAUCAGGGCAUUGAGAAUUUUAUGAGAGAGGCGGCUCCUCAACUUUGUUUUAAUUCGUUUAAGUUCACUGAAUCCUCGCUCGCAAUCUAGAAGAAUGGAAAUUAUUUAUCCUAUAAAUAUAAUGAUGCUCAGCUGAUAAGAUAUUCUAUGUCUGAUUUACAGUUAUAUACUUCCCGACUUUUAAUUGAACUCAUCAGCAGUGGAGGCAGGAAUGACCAGAGCGGCCAUUGCCAAUUUUGCCAAAAUUGGGGUAUACCUCCGAUUUCGCCACAACUUUUAAAGCUUCUGGCAGCUUCCCAUAUCUUUCCGGGUACUUCACCAUAUUGGUACGGAGGGAGUCCCAUUCCGUGACAGCCUGUUCUCUGGAGAGGUCCAUGCCUUCCUCGUACCUGUUCAGAAGCAUCUGUAAGACAACGCAAUGAUGAUGGCAUAUAAACUUAAGAAGAAUCCGAGACAUUAUGAACCUUUGAUCUGAAGCUUUAUACCAUGAGACAUUAGCAAAAUUAUGGUACUUCUGUUCGCCAUUAAGCCAAAUGGCAUGUGAAAAGAAGUAAUUGAUGCGGCAUGGACGAGACUCUGUUGUACCAUCCUCACAUGAAUAAGAUGCAUAGACCUGUGCGCUUCUCAGGGCCCUGUUCUCCAUCUUUGAAGCAUAUCGCUCACCAGCUAUAUACAAGGAACCGUACUUGUUUAUAAUUUCACUUAAAUUGUCAACAGUGACUGUUUCAUAAGGGUACAUUGACUGAUAAACACUAUACAGCCAUGGUUUGUCAUCUUCAGAGGACAAACAGGCAAUUAUGA